RNAcentral lists this ribosomal RNA (253 nucleotides) under uncultured bacterium. Its description in RNAcentral is "partial 16S ribosomal RNA". It matches the Rfam family "Bacterial small subunit ribosomal RNA", at positions 524 to 776 of the family's 1533-position model. The record is from RNAcentral.
UACGUAGGGACCAAGCGUUGUUCGGAUUUACUGGGCGUAAAGGGCGCGUAGGCGGCCCCACAAGUCACUUGUGAAAUCUCCGGGCUUAACUCGGAACGGCCAAGUGAAACUGUGGAGCUAGAGUGUGGAAGGGGCAAUCGGAAUUCUUGGUGUAGCGGUGAAAUGCGUAGAUAUCAAGAGGAACACCUGAGGUGAAGACGGGUUGCUGGGCCAACACUGACGCUGAGGCGCGAAAGCCAGGGGAGCGAACAGG